GAUGAACGCUGGCGGCGUGCCUAAUACAUGCAAGUCGAGCGAACGGACGAGAAGCUUGCUUCUCUGAUGUUAGCGGCGGACGGGUGAGUAACACGUGGAUAACCUACCUAUAAGACUGGGAUAACUUCGGGAAACCGGAGCUAAUACCGGAUGAUAUUUUGAACCGCAUGGUUCAAAAGUGAAAGACGGUCUUGCUGUCACUUAUAGAUGGAUCCGCGCUGGAUUAGCUAGUUGGUAAGGUAACGGCUUACCAAGGCAACGAUGCAUAGCCGACCUGAGAGGGUGGUCAGCCACACUGGAACUGGGACACGGUCCAGACUCCUACGGGAGGCAGCAGUGGGGAAUAUUGGCCAAUGGGGGCAAGCCUGAUCGAGCCAUCCCGCGUGGGUGAAGAAGGCCUUCGGGUUGUAAAACCCUUUUUUUGGGGAAAAAAAAAAGGUGGAUAAAACCCCGCUCUUCUGACGGUACCCAAAGAAAAAGCCCCGGCUAACUUCGUG
Molecule: ribosomal RNA, 497 nt
Filed under: uncultured bacterium
Lineage: Bacteria
Description: partial 16S ribosomal RNA
Rfam family: Bacterial small subunit ribosomal RNA
Source: RNAcentral